Molecule: non-coding RNA, 100 nt
Organism: Firmicutes bacterium ML8_F2
Lineage: Bacteria; Bacillati; Bacillota
Source: Rfam
UAGGGUGACAGCAAGGUUUCAGAUGCUCAGUCUGGCCAUGAAAAAACCCUGACUUCCCUGCUGCCGGCAUUGGCAGGUGCCAAUAUGAUCUACGGCGGGG